This 145-nucleotide transfer RNA is filed under the name Gammaproteobacteria bacterium. RNAcentral's name for it is "tRNA-Pro". The record is from RNAcentral. Lineage: Bacteria; Pseudomonadati; Pseudomonadota; Gammaproteobacteria.
CGGGGUAUAGCGCAGUCUGGUAGCGCGCCUGCUUUGGGAGCAGGAUGUCGGGAGUUUGACAAAAUCGCCGGGAGCGAUUUUGAACGCACGAAGUGCGGCCCGCAGGGCGGAGGGCAGGAAGCCCGGAGUAAUCUCUCUACCCUGC